Long non-coding RNA from Sapajus apella (tufted capuchin), 2068 nucleotides. RefSeq lists it as uncharacterized. The transcript is spliced from 3 exons. Lineage: Eukaryota; Metazoa; Chordata; Mammalia; Primates; Cebidae. The record is from RefSeq and is a predicted model, not a curated record.
ACAAACCUGCACAUGUACCCACUGAAUCUAAAACAAAAGUUCAAAUUAUUUUUUUUUUAGAGGAGUACAAAGGGAACAAUGUCUUUAGGCUAUCUCCUUUCAAGGGUUGACUCUCUAAUGUCCAGAUAGGAUUUGAACUCCAAGAAAUUGAAAUGUCCAGUACAGACAGGAGCUGCCCCUGUAUUUGUAUGACUCAUCUUACCCAUCAUACCCAAAUCCUAGUCCAUUUGAUAUUUUGUCCAUUUGAACAUUUUGCAUUCUUAUUUUUUCCAAAUACUGCACUAAAAUAUUAUUUAUUUUGAUUAAUUUUUAUUUUUUCGAAUGUUGCAUUAACAUAUUUUUUAUUUCGAUUACUGAAUUUUUUGACACCCCUCAUAGAUUUUGCACCUGAGGUGACUGUCACUCACCCCAUCCUAGUCUAAUACAAUUAACAUUGCAUUUGGUUGUUAGGCCAUCUUAAAAGACCUUAAUGACAAUGUAGAUUUUGUCAAGAUCAUGGCAACCACGUUAAGUGAACAGAAUUUUAAGGACAAGGAAUAUUUAGCCAGAAAAAAAUAUAUGUAUUUAGUAUGGAAGGGAGAGAUGUGUGUGGGAGAGAUACAGAUUUUUCUGGUGUGUAUGGCAAAACCAACAUAGGACAGUUGCAAAAAGAAAAAUUAGUUCCCAACAUGAGAACCUUCAAAUUGAAACAAUGAAUAUUGUUCAAAACAUCACAUUAUCUUGUAGGGCGAUGAUUUAUGCCUCAGUAAAUAUUCAGCCGAGCGCCUGUCUUUUCUCUAGUAUGUUGUGAAGGUUUUCAGACCUGGGGAGAGAGACAGUGUGUAGUGCCCCUAAACAACUAUACAAGAUGAAGUUCCACUUGCCAAAACCACACUAAAGGAAUAACAAAAGGAUAUUGAGAAUCAAUAAAUCCUUCAUAUAUGGUAGUAAGAGGCCAGCACUAGUUGUCCAGCCACAGCAAUUGUAGGCUGACAUAAAAUAAUUUCAGCAGCUUUGGGAUAAACAGUAAUUUUUCCUUCGGGGACAGAUUUUAAGUUAUCAGUUACCAUUGGUAGAAAGCUUGCCAUAUCCAAAGCUUUGUUUUGGGUUAGAGAUGACAAGGAAUUUAUAAUCAGCCAAAGAGAUCAAAUACACAGUGAGCUAAUUUAAAGGAAUUUUGAAAUAAACACAUAAAACAAAACCAAAUUAAUAGCCUCUAUGACUUUAGAACUGUGCCGUGAACCUUGAAUAGCUGAUAAAAUAACAGUGCCUUAAAUAUCUGCAUACUGCAAUCAUAAUUCUGUUACGUAUAAUAUUAGAAAACUGAGAACUUGAGAUUUUGGGGAAAACAAAAGAACUUCAUUUUUCCAAAAGUAGACAUUAUUUAUUAGUUUAUCUAAAACAUUGCAGUGUUUUCAAAUAUAUCCAUUCCAUUAACACAAAUCGUGUGGCUUUAUUUUUCAUCUGGAUUCUCUUUGGCAUUUAAUUUACACAGUCGCUUGUUUUAUACGAGGGCCUCUACAGUUCUGUUUUUUUGUCCUCUGAAGAACUUUCCAAGCCUUUGUCAUUCGCUUUUAAUGAAUCCAACCCUGCUAUGUCUGUUUUUGAAGCCAGGUGUUAGUGGCUCCUAAGAUCGUGUUCUAGGGAGCAGAGUUUUAAAAAUUAAUAGACUUCAUCUUUUUAGAGAAGCUCAAGUUUUACAGAAAAUUAAACAAAAUGUGAAGAGAGUUCCAAUAAAAUGCCUCAGUGCCACCUAUACUUUCCCCUCUAAUUAAAAACUUACCAUAAUAUGGUACAUUAGUUACAAUUAAUGAGCCAAUAUUAAUACAUAAUUGUUAACAAAAAUCCAUAGUUUUUAUUAGGGUCAAUUCUUUGUGUUAUACAUUCUGUGGGUUUUCAGAAAUGUAUAAUAUCAUUUAUCCGACAUUGAGUUUCACUGCCCUGAAAAUUCUCUGUGUUCUGCCUAGUUCUCCAUCCCCUUACGCUAACCCCUGGCAACCACUUAUCUUUUUACUGUCUCCAUAGUUUUACCUUUUACAGAACCUCAUACAGUUGGAAUUAUACAGUAUGCCACCUUUCCAGAUUGGUU